AUGAACUACCUCGAGGUGGACCAACUCUUCAGCGUCGGCUUCGAGUUGAACGUGUUGCCGGAGACAUUCGACCACUACUGCGCCAUCCUUCAGUCUGAGAUAAUCUGCUUGGCUAUUUCCUCCCUGCUCAUUUUUGUUUGUACUCAAUUCUUGUGCUUAAUCAACAUCCUACACUAA
This 177-nucleotide ribosomal RNA is filed under the name Triticum aestivum (bread wheat). RNAcentral's name for it is "partial small subunit ribosomal RNA". Lineage: Eukaryota; Viridiplantae; Streptophyta; Magnoliopsida; Poales; Poaceae. The record is from RNAcentral.